Pelobates cultripes (western spadefoot toad) is the source of this 207-nucleotide non-coding RNA. The record is from the annotation of a GenBank genome assembly. Lineage: Eukaryota; Metazoa; Chordata; Amphibia; Anura; Pelobatidae.
GGUAUACCAAUUCUAGUUUGUAUCAGAUUUAUUUAAGAUUUCUGGUACCAAAGGGUUUAUUUUUUUCUUUUUUAAAGAAGGGAUCCCGUACGGCCAUAUAACACGUUUGACUUAAACAUUUGUAUAACACUUGCAUUAACCAGUUGCGACAUAUGAAACCUGUCAAUGGAAUUUCUCUCUUAUACACUUAUAGAACAUUUGGACCAG